RNAcentral lists this ribosomal RNA (253 nucleotides) under uncultured bacterium. RNAcentral describes it as "partial 16S ribosomal RNA". It matches the Rfam family "Bacterial small subunit ribosomal RNA", at positions 524 to 776 of the family's 1533-position model. The record is from RNAcentral.
UACGGGGGGGGCAAGCGUUGUUCGGAAUUACUGGGCGUAAAGGGCUCGUAGGUGGCCAACUAAGUCGGACGUGAAAUCCCUCAGCUUAACUGGGGAACUGCGUCCGAUACUGGAUGGCUUGAGUUUGGGAGAGGGAUGCGGAAUUCCAGGUGUAGCGGUGAAAUGCGUAGAUAUCUGGGGGAACACCGGUGGCGAAGGCGGCAUCCUGGACCAACACUGACACUGAGGAGCGAAAGCCAGGGGAGCAAACAGG